CUGGUAUAGGGAUUAGAUAGGUACACUAAAGGUCUCCUACGUCGCUCAUUCAGUAUUUAGCUAGCUAGAGAAAAACCUACACAUUACACAUUCCCUAGCUUUGGUUCAACCUAUUUUAGUUUAGAAUAGGGACUUCUGGAUAAAUACAAAUAGGCAGGUGCGGGCUGGUGAUGAUGAUGAUGAUGAUGAU
Molecule: non-coding RNA, 190 nt
Organism: Plutella xylostella (diamondback moth)
Lineage: Eukaryota; Metazoa; Arthropoda; Insecta; Lepidoptera; Plutellidae
Source: RefSeq, a predicted model, not a curated record